This 510-nucleotide long non-coding RNA is filed under the name Erythranthe guttata (spotted monkey flower). RNAcentral's name for it is "long non-coding RNA (EGUT_LNC001777)". The record is from RNAcentral. Lineage: Eukaryota; Viridiplantae; Streptophyta; Magnoliopsida; Lamiales; Phrymaceae.
UCUAUAAUCAUCAUCUUUUUCCAACUUCAUAUGUUUAUAUCUACAUAUAUAUGUAUAUAUACUAUGGCAGUUCAGAAUCGGAGGCGUGUCCGGAACUUCUCCGUGUUCGUGGACUCAUCGUCAUCAUCGUAGCUGGCUCUCCGAAUUCAUCCUCAUCGUUCUUCCCGUCGGAGUAUGCGACUCAAUCUCCCCUUCGCCGUAUCUACCGUCAAAUUUUCUUAUCAUUUUAUUUUAUUAAUCUAUCUCUAUUUUCUCCCUCUCUAUUCUCUCACACACAGACACACACACGAGAAAAAUAAUUACCUGGUUGUUUGGGGGUUUUGACUUCCAUCGAUUUCUUCGACAUAAAGAUUUUACUGGUCAUAAUUUCCGGGCAGCGACGAUUUCCUCCCCGACGGCGAAGUGAACGGAUCCUCCACCGGAACGACGCUCUCGUCGCAAGUGGAAGCCCCAUCGCUUCCCGAUUCAGAGUUCUCCCUCUGGCUCACGUUAGCCCUCUCCCUCUCAGUA